GUCAUGCUACCUCCGUCCGGAAUUAUUUGUCUGAGAAAUGGAUGUAUCUAGACAUACUUUAGUUCUUGUUACAUCCAUUUUUAUUCAUUUAUGCAACAAGUAAUUCCGGACAGAGGGAGUGUGCU
Molecule: non-coding RNA, 125 nt
Organism: Triticum aestivum (bread wheat)
Lineage: Eukaryota; Viridiplantae; Streptophyta; Magnoliopsida; Poales; Poaceae
Source: Rfam